This is a small nucleolar RNA of Cricetulus griseus (Chinese hamster), 100 nucleotides long. The record is from Ensembl. NCBI's taxonomy places the organism in Eukaryota, Metazoa, Chordata, Mammalia, Rodentia, Cricetidae.
UUGGUGGUGGAAAAGAAAGCCUGCCACAGUGAGUUGACAGCUUUUAGGAAAGAGGGUUGUCCUAUAUAUGAAAGACUGCACUGGAAGCAUGAGAACAGCU